This 465-nucleotide ribosomal RNA is filed under the name uncultured bacterium. Its description in RNAcentral is "partial 16S ribosomal RNA". It matches the Rfam family "Bacterial small subunit ribosomal RNA", at positions 338 to 795 of the family's 1533-position model. The record is from RNAcentral.
CCUACGGGGGGCAGCAGUGGGGAAUUUUGCGCAAUGCUCGUAAGAGUGACGCAGCGACGCCGCGUGAAUGACGAAGGCCUUCGGGUCGUAAAGUUCUUUCGACAGGGAAGAAAAUGCAUAUAAGUAACUGUGUAUGUAUUGACGGUACCUGUAUAAGCAGCCCCGGCUAACUCCGUGCCAGCAGCCGCGGUAAUACGGAGGGGGCGAGCGUUGUUCGGAGGGACUGGGCGUAAAGAGCACGUAGGCGGUGUUGUAAGUCAUUAGUCAAAGACUAGAGCUCAACGUUAGUACGGCUAGUGAUACUAUAAUACUAGAGUAUCAGAGAGGAUUGCAGAAUUCCUGGUGUAGCGGUGAAAUGCGUAGAUAUCAGGAGGAAUACCGUUAGCGAAGGCGGCAAUCUGGCUGGAAACUGACGCUGAGGUGCGAAAGCGUGGGUAGCAAACAGGAUUAGAUACCCUUGUAGUC